RNAcentral lists this ribosomal RNA (435 nucleotides) under uncultured bacterium. Its description in RNAcentral is "partial 16S ribosomal RNA". It matches the Rfam family "Bacterial small subunit ribosomal RNA", at positions 29 to 507 of the family's 1533-position model. The record is from RNAcentral.
AGCGAACGCUGGCGGCAGGCUUAACACAUGCAAGUCGAACGGGCAGCUGGCGUCGUUAGUGGCAGCUGGUUGAGUACCACGGGGGAACGUACCCUUCGGUUCGGUAUAAUACAGGGUAACCAGGGCUAAUACUGGCUACGCCCUUAUGGGCAAAGGUUUACAGCGAAAGGAUCCUCAAGCGUCUGAUUAGCUUGUAGGUGGGGUAUGGGGCUACCAAGGCGACGAUCAGUAGCUGGUCUGAGAGGAUGAUCAGCCACACUGGGACUGAGACACGGCCCAGACUCCUACGGGAGGCAGCAGUGGGGAAUAUUGGACAAUGGGGGCAACCCUGAUCCAGCCAUGCCGCGUGAGUGAAGAAGGCCUUAGGGUUGUAAAGCUCUUUUGACCGGGACGAUAAUGACGGUACCGGUAUAAUAAGCCCCGGCAAACUUCGUG